CCAGACUCCUACGGGAGGCAGCAGUGGGGAAUAUUGCACAAUGGGGGAAACCCUGAUGCAGCGACGCCGCGUGAGUGAAGAAGUAUUUCGGUAUGUAAAGCUCUAUCAGCAGGGAAGAAAAUGACGGUACCUGACUAAGAAGCCCCGGCUAACUACGUGCCAGCAGCCGCGGUAAUACGUAGGGGGCAAGCGUUAUCCGGAUUUACUGGGUGUAAAGGGAGCGUAGACGGCAUGGCAAGUCAGAUGUGAAAGCCCGGGGCUCAACCCCGGGACUGCAUUUGAAACUGUCAGGCUGGAGUGCAGGAGAGGUAAGUGGAAUUCCUAGUGUAGCGGUGAAAUGCGUAGAUAUCACGCAGAACUCCGAUUGCGAAGGCAGCGCACCGGCGCCCUACUGACGCUCAGGCACGAAAGCGUGGGUAUCGAACAGGAUUAGAUACCCCAGUAA
This 445-nucleotide ribosomal RNA is filed under the name uncultured bacterium. Its description in RNAcentral is "bacterial SSU rRNA". It matches the Rfam family "Bacterial small subunit ribosomal RNA", at positions 331 to 793 of the family's 1533-position model. The record is from RNAcentral.